GGUCAGGGCGAGUUGGCCAUGGUGAAUUGUCAUAGAACCUUCCUUUCUUCUCUCCAUUUGUGCAUCCUUCCCAAAAAUGUGCAUUUGGUGGAAGGGGAUUAUCAUCCCCUGGUAGAAGGAGAGUACCAAUCAGUCAAGGGUAUAUGAUAGUUGGUGGAGCCACCAAAGUUAAUAUGAUGUGUGCAUCUCUGCAGUUUUGUCAUCCAUGCUUAGCAUAAUCCUGCUAGGGCUU
Molecule: small nuclear RNA, 232 nt
Filed under: Ophiophagus hannah (king cobra)
Lineage: Eukaryota; Metazoa; Chordata; Lepidosauria; Squamata; Elapidae
Description: 7SK RNA
Rfam family: 7SK RNA
About the family: 7SK was discovered as an abundant small nuclear RNA in the mid-70s but a possible function has only recently been suggested.
Source: Rfam by way of RNAcentral